Molecule: long non-coding RNA, 3936 nt
Organism: Anolis carolinensis (green anole)
Lineage: Eukaryota; Metazoa; Chordata; Lepidosauria; Squamata; Anolidae
Exons: 3
Source: RefSeq, a predicted model, not a curated record
UUGGAAGUCUUUAAAAAGAGGCUGGAUGGACAUCAUUUAGGACAGCUUUUGCUGAUAUUCCUUCAUAGUUGGCUUAGAUAACCCUUGUUGUCCCUUCCAACUCUGCGACUCUAAUACUCUACAACUUUCUACUUUAUUGAUCAUUAUUAUUUUUAAAUGAGUCAUAUUAUCUCAUGAUAUGUCCAAAGUACAACACCCUGAAUUUAGUCAUCUUGGCUUCUAGUGUGACUUCAGGUUUAAUUUGCUCUAAGACUCCAUUUAUUUGUCUUUUAGGCUGCCUACAGCACCACAUUUCAAAUUGUGCUUCCUAUCAGUUUUCCUCAUUACUGAAUUUUCACAAGCAUAUGUAGAAAAUGGAAAUACUAUGGCCUGGAUUACUCUGGCUUUGUGUUAACACUUGAAAACCCUAUCUAGUUAUUUUAUGCCUGCUUCUCCAAAUCUUCAUAGAGGUUAUUCUAACACAAUGAUUUCUCUAUUUUCAGGUACUUGAAUGUCUGUUCCUACAUGCUGUUCAAAUGGAUAUAAGUUUGGGAAUGGGACUUCAUUAGAUCUGGCAGCCAAAUUACUGCUAAAGACUAUGAUCCAACAGAAUAGUUAUUUCCUUAUUAGCGCUCACUCUGGGGAGAUCUAAACUUGCAUCUUAUGCUUCCUUGUUAAUGACAGCAAAAUAUGUCCAUGUUAUUUCUUGUGUUCAGUAAUUACGAAGGAGGGUGAGUAGCAGAUGGGCAACAAGGUCUGGCUGGAGGAAUUCUGCCAUUGGAAGUAAAAUCAUCAUUCAUGCGAACUCUCUCCCAUUCAUGUGGAAAUGCAGUUUUUAAAACUUCAUCUAAUCUACCGAGUCCUGAAAUAAUCUCUUGUGACACAACAAGCGAGGAAACUACCUGCAGACAAGGUUAACAGGGGAAAGAGAUACUUGUGUUCUAUUCUGAGCUGUUGGUAGUGACACCUUUAUUACAUCAUCAGAUAAGAAAACCCAUCUAGUUUGUGCUUAAGUGCAAAAAUAAAUAAAGCCAAAUACAAUCCAAGGUACAGUAAGUAUGAACAGGACACGGAAGAAUAAAACAGAAAAGCUGAAUUUGAAAGAGAGUUGGAUCAUCUCCAAAUGACAUGCUUAUCUGGUGUCAACCAUUGGCUCCAACAGAGCUUAAAUAAACUGCUCCACUUCUGGGUGCAUUGAAUCCAAUUAUGGAGGUAUGAGUCCCUCAUUGAAUCCCAACCCAAUGAACAAAAAGCAAAUCUGCUGAAAAAUAUGUAAGGGAUUGAUCUGAAUUAAGCCUUCAUCUGUUGAGCAUUUGAGACAUGUCUCCUGUUUCCUGCUGAUUUUACUGGCUGCUUCCAAGUUGCUGUUUCCUUCAAUCAACUCAAUGCCAAAUGCCAACGUUCCAGUUUUCACGCUGCUGUCUGCAUCAGGAGCAGAUGUCUCUUGUUGAACCCAAAUUCUUUUCUAGUGUGAAAGAAGAUAAACCUUUCUGAAUUGAUUUCGUUCGACAAGUACCAGUGGUGUCUCUUCUUUGGUAAAAAAAAAAUAGGACAGUUUUAAACAAAGUCGUAAGUGAACAUAUAUACUGGAUUAGAGAAGCACAAGGUUAGUCUGAAAUCAGAGGACAUGGGUAAGGUUUCUUCCACACUAGAAUCAAACCAUAGACUCAGAGUUUAAAAGACCUCAAGGGCCAUCCACUUUAAUCUCACUGUGCCACACAGAAAUACACAUUCGAAACACUUCUAAAAGGUGGCCAUCCAGCUUCUGUUUAAAAACUCCAAAGAAGGAGUUUGUAUUUCAUUCCAAGAGAUCCUAUUCCACCCUCAAACAACUCUUACCAUCAAGAAGUUCUUCCUAAACUUUAGGAUUUAUUUUGCUGUACUUUGACUCCAUAGCUCCAUGUCCUAGUCCCUGGAGCAACAGAGAACAAGUCAGAUCCAUCUGUAAUAUGGUCUUCUUUCAAAUCAUGGUUCUCAUGUCACCUCUCAACCAUCUCUGCUUUAUGUUAAAAACAUACCCUGCUCCCUAAGCAUAGAGAAUGACAAGUAGACCUUUUGUCUAGUAAUGUGGCCCUUUGUUCACUCAUGUCUCUGAAAGAGUCAGGGCAGUUGAGGUGGAGCACAAUGAGUUCAUUUCAUGCAAAAUCAGCAGGAGCAGAAAUUUUUUUGGAAAAAGCAUAGUGGGGAAGACCCAGAUGUGGUUCAUGAAGGACCAAAACUACCUUGGAGCAGCAUGUGAUCUAUGGGCCAUACUUUCCAAGUCCUUGUCAUAUAUUCUCUAAAAUUCUGGCUUACACUCAUUACAACCGUGGCUAAUGAGCAUUAUGUGUCAGCUCAAGAUCACUUUGUACCACUCCAGAAUAUUACAGUCAUUCUUCCAUUAUGUACAACAGAGUCUCUGAUGACAGAUUCAAAAGAAAAACACAUAGUACUUUUUAGUAUUUUUGUGCAUGACAUGACUGGUCUAUUUAAUUCUGUCACCAUUUUUUCCAAAAACCCCAUUCAAUAAGGCAAGAAAACAAGCCCAAACAAUUCUAGUUACAUCUAGACAAUCAGUUCUCCAAACAUCUUGAUCGAAAUGAACCCAGAACAUUUCUGCUAAGAUGAUCAGUCAACAUUAAUAGAGAUCUAACAGCACAAUGUUUACCUGUUUACUGAGAAGAAAUGCUCAUGAGGCUUACUCAUGGGAAAGCGAGAGAAGCUGAAAACACUGAAGCAAAAGAUCGCACAAUGUUGUUUGAUGUGAAAGGCCAUGCAAAAUGCUAGUUGACAUCUGUAUUCUGCUAUUUGCCUUCAGGGACUUUCUGCUACAGUUUGAAAGAUUUUCAACCACAACCAGUCAGGUAAAGAGAAUGUGACAUUAUCAAGUUUUCAUUUUUCACACCUGUUAGUCUUGGUAAGGCUUCUUUUCCUUCCUUUCUGGACAAAAACUAAAAAUAAGCCUAGACUAAUGGAGGUAUCUGCCAUGCCAAAUUGUCCAACAGUAUGUAUGUCUCCAUCUAUCUAUCCAUCCAUCCUACUCCACCAAAGUUAGACCUGCCUUCAAUAGUACAAUAGUUUAAGUAUUUGCCUGAUUUAAGUAACUAAAUAAAUGUUUUCAUUAAUUUCUGGGUUAAGCAUUCAUAGAUUUGAUUAUUCACAGAUUACUGUAUUUGCUAACACCUUUGCUGCACAACUGCAAAAAUAUGUUCUCUCUAAACAUUUUACAUCCUCUACCACAAUGCUAUGGUCAAUGUCUCAAAAAUGCCAUUUUUAUUUAUAUUCAUGGUUUUUCCAUUUUUCUGAGGAACAUGCACCCUAACUCCCACAAAUGUAGAGGAACUGCUAACAUCCCAACAAAGGACAAAACAUUAUUUUUAUUACAACAAAAUAGCACAAAAUAUAAAGCUGUGGAGCCUAUAUAGCAUCCUCUUGGUGUUUUAGACAUCCAUAACUCACCCUAUAUAGUGAGGCUUUUGGGGAUGUCAAGAUAAGGCUUUUUGGGAUGUCAAGAUAAGACCUGGCGCCAUGAGGGGAGUGCCAUUAAGUCUCUGACAGCUAAGAUAACUGGGAUUCUCCUUAAUUAAUGAGAACCCCUAAUGGAUGAGACGAGAAUUCCAGUGCUAAUAGGUCUCUGACAGCUGAGAUAAGGGGAUUCUCCUUAAUUAAUGAGAAUCCCUAAUGGAUGAGGUGAGGAUUCCAAAGAUAACGCCUAACGGAGGUCUUGAAAGUAGUCUAUAUUUUAGGAAAAUGCAAAGAUAAGCUUUUAGUUAAGUGUCCAGUAAGACUUUUUUGACAUUAAUUGGUAAUUGAUAAUACCUGUGUGACGUAGAUAGAGGCAGGCCAAAAUAGUAUAUAAGGAUCUGUGUUUCUUUGUCUAAGAUACCUUCGCUUUCCUGAUUACAGGAGAAGGUCUUUUUCUUUAUUGCUGUAUUCUCACUGGCCAUUGAGAAUAAAGACGUCAUUUUUCUACAGCCA